AGACUCAGUCAGCUGUUGGGGAUCAGAGGCCGCACUCAUCGUAGCAGAGAGGCAGGACCAGCUGGGAGAGGGUCCUUCUGUGACACCGACGGCAUCACCGGGCUGUGGGAAGUGACUCAGCUGCCAGAACUCACACAAUAUCAUUCUGCACCAAAACCUCAUGGGAAAAAUGCUCCACGACCCUCAGACUUAAACAGCAGCACUGGCUCCUCCCCAGAUCUCCAGCUCCCUGACCCUCAAACUCCAACUCCAGCACCAGCUCCACCUGGGUCUCCAGCUCCACCAUCCUCAAACUCCAACAGCAGCACCAGCUCCCGCGUGGAUCUCCAGCUCAAUGACUCUCAGACUUAGGAGGCAGCACCGGUUCCCCACCAAGACUCCAGCUCCACAACACUCAAACUAGAACAGCAGCACCGGCUACUCCCUGGCUCUCCAGCUCCCUCAAACUUCAACGAUAGCACUGGCUGUUCCCCGGGACCACCAGCUCCACAACCCCCAACUUACACGGUGGUAGCACCAGCUCCUCCCUAGGUCUCCAGCUCCACGACCAUCAAACUUGAACUGCAAUACCAGCUCCUCUUCGGCCUCCAGCUCCACAAUCCGCAAACAACAACAGCAACACCUGCGCCUCCCUGAAUCUCCAGCUCAACAACUCUCAGACUUGAGAGGCAGCACCGACACCUCCCCAAGGCUCCAGCUCCACAACCCUCAGAUUUGAACAGCAGUAGCACCACCUCCUGUCUGGGUCUCCAGCUUCACGAUCCUUAAACUGGAACAGCAGCACCGCCGCCUCCCUGGGUUUCCAGCUCCACGACCCUAAAACAUGAAUGACAGAACCAGGUCACCCCCAGGGCUCCAGCUCCAAGAACCACAGAUUUAAACGGCAGCCCCGGCUCUUCCCAGGAUCUCCAACUCCAUGGCCCUCAGACUAGAUCAGCAGCACCGGUUCCUCCCUGGGUCUCCCUCCAGCUCCACAAUCCUCAGACAUGAACAAUAGCACCGGCUCCUCCCUGGGUCUCCAGCUCCACAAUCCUCAGACAUGAAUAAUAGCACCGGCUCCUCCUUGGGUCUCCAGCUUCACGACCCUCAGACUAGACCAGCAACACCGGUUCCUCCCUGGGUCUCCAGCUCUACAACCCUCAGACAUGAACAGCAGCAGCACCGGCUCCUCUCCCUGUCUCCAGUUCCACCAACCUCAAACUACAACAGCAGUACCAGCCUCUCCCCAGGUCUCCAGAUCCACGACCCUCAAAAUACAAUGGCAAGACCGGCUCCUCCCUGGGUCUCCUGCUCCCAAACCCUAAAACUUCAAGUGACACACCGGAUCCUCCCCACAGUUAAACAGCAGCACAGGCUCUUCCCCAAAGCUCCAGAUCCACGACACUCUGACUUAAAUGCUGGUAGCACCGGCUCCUCCCUAGGUCUCCAGUUCCACGACAAUCAAACUACACAGCAGCACCGGCUCCUCCCCAGGUCUACGGCUCCACCACCCUCACACUAGACACCAAGACUACCUCCUCCCCGCGCUCCAGCUACACGACCCUUAGACUUGAACAGCAGCAGCGGCUCCUCCCUGUACCUCAAGCCCCAUGACCCUCAGACUUCAACAACAGCAACACCAGCAACCACACAGGGCUCCAGCUCCACAACCCUCAGCUUUAAACAACAGCAGCACCAGCUCCCCCCGGUGUCUCCAGCUCCACCACCCUCAUACUAGAACAGCACCAGUCCUCCCUGAGUCUCCAGCUCCAUUAUCCUCAGACUACAACGGCAACACCAGCUCCUCCCUGGAUCUCCAGCUCAACAACUCUCAGACUUGAGAGGUGGCACCGGCAACUCCCCAAGGCUCCAGCUCCACGACUCUCAGAUUUGAACAGCGGUAGCACCACCUCCUAUCCAGGUCUCCAGCUUCACGAUCCUUAAACUAGAACAGCAGCAUCGCCGCCUCCCUGGGUUUUCAGCUCCAAGAACCUAAGACACGAAUGGCAGAACUGGCUCCCCGCCAGGGCUCCAGCUCCAGGACCUACAGAUUUGAACGAUAGCACCAGCUCCUCCCAGGAUCUUCAGCUCCACGACCCUCAAACUAGAAGAGUAGCACCGGCUCCUCCCCCUGUCUCCACUUCCAUGACCCUCAAACUACAACAACAGUACCGGCCUCUCCCCAGGUCUCCAGAUCCAUAACCUUCAAAAUACAAUAGCAUGACCGGCUCCUCCCUGGUUCUCCAGCUCCCAAACCCUCAAAUUUCAAUUGACACACCGGAUCCUCCCCACAGUUAAACAGCAGCACGGGCUGUUCCCCAAAACUCCAGAUCCACGACCUUCUGACUUAAAUGGCGGUAGCAUUGGUUCCUCCCUAGGUCUCCAGUUCCAUGACCCUCAAACUCCACAGCAGCACCGGCUCCUCCCCAGGUCUGCAGCUCUACCACCCUCACACUAGACACCGAGACUACCUCCUCCCCGCGCUCCAGCUACACGACCCUCAGACUUGAACAGCAGCAGCGGCUCCUCCCUGUACCUCAAGCCCCGUGACCCUCAGACAACAGCAACACCAUCUGCCCCCCAGGGCUCCAGCUCCAGAACCCACAGAUUUAAACACCAGCACCAGCUCCUCUCUGGUUCUCCAGCUCCACAAGCCUCAGGCAUGAACAACAGCACCCGCUCCUCCCUGUGUCUCCAUAUUCACUGCCCUCACUAGAACAGCAACACCGGGUCCUCCGUGGAUCUCCAGCUCAAUGACUCUCAGACUUGAAAGGAAGCACCGGCUCCUCUGUGGGUCUCCGGAACCACGACACUCAAAACAACACGGAUCCUCCCUGGGUCUGCAGCUCCAACAACCUCAAACUAGAACAAGACCCUUCCUCCCGGGGUCGCCAGCUUCCAGACCCUCGAAUUACAACAACGUAACUCCUCCCUGGGUCAGCGGCUCCAUGACACUCAAACUAGAACAAGACCUCUCCUCCCGGGGACGCCAGCUUCCAGACCCUCUUACUACAACAACAUUGCCCCUCCCUGGGUCUGCAGCUCCACGACCGUCAAACUAGAACGAGACCUCUCCUCCCUGGGUCGCCAGGUUCCCAACCCUUGAACUUCAACGACAUUGCUCCUGCCUGGGUCUGUAGCUCCACGACCCCCAAAUUACAACAAAACUUCUCCUCCCUGGGUCGCCAGCUUCUAGACCCUUGAACUUCAACAAUAUUGCUACUGCCUGGGCCUGAAGCUCCACGACCCUCAAACUAGAACUUGACCUCUCCUUCCUGGGUCGCCACAUUCCCAAAUCUCUUACUACAACAACAUUGCCCCUCCCUGGGUCUGCAGCUCCACCAUCCUCAAACUACAAGACCUCUCCUCCCUGGGUCGCCAGCUUACAGGCCCUCGAACUACAACAACGUAGCUCCCCCCUGGGUCUGCAGCUCCACGACCCUGAAACUAGAACAUGACUUCUCCUCCCUGGGUCGACAGCUUCCAGACCCUCCUACUACAACAACAUUGCUCCUCCCUGGGUCUGCAGCUCCAUGACCCUGAAAGUAGAACAAGACUCCUCCUUCCUGGGUCGCCAGGUUCCAGACCCUCGAACUUCAACAACAUUGCUCCUGCCUGGGUCUGUAGCUCCACGACCCUCAAACUAGAACAUGACCUCUCCUCCCUGGGUCGCCAGCUUCCAGACCCUCGAACGUCAACAACAUUGCUCCUCCCUGGGUCUGCAGCUCCGUGACCCUCAAACUACAACAUAACCUCUCCUCCCUGGGUCGCCAGCUUCCCAACUCUCAAACUAAAACAACGUUGCUCCUCCUUGGGUCUGUAGCUCCACAACCCUCAUCCUAGAACAGCAGUACCAGCUCCUUCCUGGACCUCCGCUCAAUGACUCUCAGACUACAAAGGUAGCACCGGCUCCACCCCCGGCUGCAGCUCCAACACAAUCAGAUUUGAGCAGUGGCAGCACCAGCUCCUGUCUGGCUCUUCCGCUUCACUUUCCUUAAAUUAGAACAGCAGCACCAUCUUCUCCCUGGGUCUCCAGCUCCACGAUCCUCAAACUGGAACAGCAGCACCAGCUCCUGUGGGAUCUUCAGCUCCACGACCCUAAGGCAUCAGUGGCAGCACCGGCUCCUCCCGUGGGCUCCAGCUCCAGGACCCUCAGACCGGAACAAAAACACCAGCUCCUCCCCAUGCCUCCGGCUCCUUGACCCUCAUAAACCAUCCCUUCUCCUGAAAUGUAGCAGUCAGGAAAACUGCAGAGGAAGUAAAUAAAUAAAUGCUUUCCUUUCAAA
Molecule: non-coding RNA, 4265 nt
Organism: Macaca mulatta (Rhesus monkey)
Lineage: Eukaryota; Metazoa; Chordata; Mammalia; Primates; Cercopithecidae
Source: RefSeq, a predicted model, not a curated record